Molecule: small nuclear RNA, 107 nt
Organism: Molossus molossus (Pallas's mastiff bat)
Lineage: Eukaryota; Metazoa; Chordata; Mammalia; Chiroptera; Molossidae
Source: RefSeq, a predicted model, not a curated record
GUGCUCACAUUGGCAGCACAUACGCUAAAACCGGAAUGAUACAGAGAAGAUCAGCAGCGUCCCUGCGCAAGGAUAACACGCAGAUUCAUGACGCAGAAACAUGUCUC